This 245-nucleotide ribosomal RNA is filed under the name uncultured bacterium. RNAcentral describes it as "partial 16S ribosomal RNA". It matches the Rfam family "Bacterial small subunit ribosomal RNA", at positions 524 to 768 of the family's 1533-position model. The record is from RNAcentral.
GACGAACCGUACAAACGUUAUUCGGAAUCACUGGGCUUAAAGGGUGCGUAGGCGGUCCAGAAAGUUGGGUGUGAAAGCCCUCGGCUCAACCGAGGAAUUGCGCCCAAAACUACUGGACUUGAGGGAGGCAGAGGUAAGCGGAACUUAGGGUGGAGCGGUGAAAUGCGUUGAUAUCCUAAGGAACACCAGGAGCGAAAGCGGCUUACUGGGCCUCUUCUGACGCUGAGGCACGAAAGCUAGGGGAG